GAUGAAGAACGCAGCGAAAUGCGAUAAGUAGUGUGAAUUGCAGAAUUCAGUGAAUCAUCGAAUCUUUGAACGCACAUUGCGCCCCUUGGUAUUCCAUGGGGAAUGCCUGUUCGAGCGUCAUUUGUACCUUCAAGCUCUGCUUGGUGUUGGGUGUUUGUCUCGCCUCUGCGUGUAGACUCGCCUUAAAACAAUUGGCAGCCGGCGUAUUGAUUUCGGAGCGCAGUACAUCUCGCGCUUUGCACUCAUAACGACGACGUCCAAAAGUACAUUUUUACACUCUUGACCUCGGAUCAGGUAGGGAUACCCGCUGAACUUAAGCAUAUCAAUAAGCGGAGGA
RNAcentral lists this unclassified non-coding RNA (337 nucleotides) under soil metagenome. RNAcentral's name for it is "partial contains 5.8S ribosomal RNA, internal transcribed spacer 2, and large subunit ribosomal RNA". The stretch from base 1 to 120 matches the Rfam family "5.8S ribosomal RNA", at positions 35 to 154 of the family's 154-position model. The record is from RNAcentral.